RNAcentral lists this transfer RNA (73 nucleotides) under Methanobacteriota archaeon. RNAcentral's name for it is "Euryarchaeota archaeon tRNA-Gln". It matches the Rfam family "tRNA". Rfam says of the family: Transfer RNA (tRNA) molecules are approximately 80 nucleotides in length. Their secondary structure includes four short double-helical elements and three loops (D, anti-codon, and T loops). The record is from RNAcentral. Lineage: Archaea; Methanobacteriati; Methanobacteriota.
AGGCCCUUGGUGUAGCGGUCCAUCAUAUGGGGUUCUGGAUCCCAUGACCCUGGUUCGAAUCCGGGAGGGCCUA